AUCAAACUUGGAUUUCUGAACUGGCUUUUUGUGUUGACAUAUUGAAGUGUAUAAAUGAAAUCAACAUAAAACUACAAGGUAAAAAUCAACUUAUUCCUGAUAUGUGGUUUCAUAUUAAAUCUUUUGAAAUAAAAUUGAAAAUAUUACGGUCUCACAUUGAAAAAAAAUGAAUUAACACAUUUUCCUAAUUGUAAAAAACUUUUUGGAUCGUCAGAAUUUUCAUUAUUAACAGUUAAAUUUGUUGAAGCUAUUUCGAUACUUCAACAAGAAUUUAAUAUUCGAUUUCAAGAUUUCAAACGACAUUCACAGUAUUUUCAACUACUCGCCAAUCCGUUUAAUAUUGAUGUUGAAGAUGUACCUGUUGAGCUUCAAAUGGAAAUAAUAGAUUUGCAG
Molecule: non-coding RNA, 393 nt
Organism: Cinara cedri
Lineage: Eukaryota; Metazoa; Arthropoda; Insecta; Hemiptera; Aphididae
Source: the annotation of a GenBank genome assembly